GCCCUCGUAGCUCAGCCGGAUAGAGCAGCGGCUUCCUAAGCCGAAGGUCGCACGUUCGAAUCGUGCCGGGGGCG
Molecule: transfer RNA, 74 nt
Filed under: Myxococcales bacterium
Lineage: Bacteria; Pseudomonadati; Myxococcota; Myxococcia; Myxococcales
Description: tRNA-Arg
Rfam family: tRNA
About the family: Transfer RNA (tRNA) molecules are approximately 80 nucleotides in length. Their secondary structure includes four short double-helical elements and three loops (D, anti-codon, and T loops). Further hydrogen bonds mediate the characteristic L-shaped molecular structure. tRNAs have two regions of fundamental functional importance: the anti-codon, which is responsible for specific mRNA codon recognition, and the 3' end, to which the tRNAs corresponding amino acid is attached (by aminoacyl-tRNA synthetases). tRNAs cope with the degeneracy of the genetic code in two manners: having more than one tRNA (with a specific anti-codon) for a particular amino acid; and 'wobble' base-pairing, i.e. permitting non-standard base-pairing at the 3rd anti-codon position.
Source: RNAcentral